GCUGACCUGUCCCUGUCUGGCCUCAGCUGACUGUGAUGAGAUACCAGCUCUCUGAUGACCUCCCCUCACCACUUCCCUUCCGGCUGUUUCCCUCUGUACAAUGGGACCAAGGCUCAGGCCGGCUCCAGGUUUACCUGAAGUUACGGUGUGACCUGCCCCCAAAGAGCCAAGCUCUCAACAUUCAUCUGCACCUUCCCCUGCCUCGAGGGGUCGUCAGGUCAGCAUGCUUGCUGGGAAGACUCCCUGGGGUAGAGCCUCUGCUCUACCAAGGAAGCAGCCACUUAGUUUAGCAUAUUCCCUGUCCACCAUCCAGCCUGUCUCAGGAACUGAGCAGCCCAGAUCAGAAGGCAGAGCUGGGAGAAGGAGCCCUUCACUGGGAC
RNAcentral lists this long non-coding RNA (380 nucleotides) under Rattus norvegicus (Norway rat). RNAcentral describes it as "long non-coding RNA NONRATT007356". The record is from RNAcentral. Lineage: Eukaryota; Metazoa; Chordata; Mammalia; Rodentia; Muridae.